Molecule: long non-coding RNA, 407 nt
Organism: Suricata suricatta (meerkat)
Lineage: Eukaryota; Metazoa; Chordata; Mammalia; Carnivora; Herpestidae
Exons: 4
Source: RefSeq, a predicted model, not a curated record
CUCACAGUUCAGAGAUCUUUAUGCAUUUUUUUCCAAAUUUAUGUAAGACAAGAAUGCUAAAUGGGACUGAUUUAAGGUGGGCCCUAAAUUCAAUCAUAUGUGUUCUCAUCAGAAGCAUGUAAAAGAAGAGGAGACAAUGUGGCCCUAGAAGCAUAGAUUGGAGUUAUAUGGCCUUAGUCAGGCAUGCAGUGGCCAUCUGGACCUGGAAGAGCAAGAAAUGGAGACUCCCCUCAGGUCUCCUGAGGAAGCACACCCUUGAUGACCCUUUCAGCAUUGUCCUUGUCACAAGUAAGGGCACCAAUGGACACAGCUAUUUGGCUUUCACUGUUAAAUAGCCAUGUUCAACAGAACAGUCUGGUAUCUUGAUGAGGUUCAAGAUGGACACGCAUUUGUUGAAGUUUCAUGGU